UUCGGAGUUUUGGGCUUGUAGUUGCCAGCACACGCUCCCCUUCCCUCCAGAGUGACCUGGAGUAACUGGGAGGCGUCACAGCCCUUUCCUCUCGCCAGCUUGCACUUUGGAUAACGACACCCUGCUUGCUUGUAUCCCCUUUGCAGGUUUGACUAGACACAGUGUGCGAUUCACAGCCCCCUGGAGCUUGCCAUGUGGAAAAACAAUACCCUUGUGUACCCGAAACGUUCUUUAAUCCUUCUAGAUUAAAUAUAGGCGGUGGGCACCUGAAAGGAAACAGAGAAAGCGUCUGAACAGACUGAACACAGCCUUGAGUCUCUAGGCUAUGAAAAAAGAGAAGCCCUUGCACAUGUUACUGAAAUUCGACUCCUGAUGAAACACGCACCGCACAGGCUCAAGAUCACACCUUAAGAUCAGAAGAGAAGACAUCAAAACGCCAGGCAGACCUCCGUCUGUCUAUCUCGUUCUCUCCCUUUAUGACCAAGUACACCGCAGCUGUGGGGUUGGAGCCCAGUUUACCCUAAGAGAUCGGGCCACUGAGGGAUUUCCCUGCGCACCACAGCUCUGGGCUCCUGGCAGCAGGAGCCUGCCUGUGGGGUUGUGACAGCCCAGGAAGGCUGAGCCGCUGGAGGAGCCUGCAAGAGCCCCUCUGCUUUGUGCCACUCACUCGGGGAAGACUGGGCACAGAACCACACAGCCCAGAUCUCAUGGGAGCAGCAUCAAAAGUUACUUGCGUCACUCCUCGCUGAGAGUCAGACAAAAUCUGACAAACCUGAAAAGGACAAAAGAGCACCGCUGCCCAGCAAAAAUCGGCCAACAGAGCUUUCACCACUUUCUUUCUUCCCUCAAGUAGAUCAUAGCAGACUCGAAUCACCUUGUCCCCUCCGUCCCUUCGACAUCUGUGUGCCAGGCAUCCAGCCCGGUCAAGAGGUCCGUGACCAGAAGGAAGGAACCCAGCCCUUUCUAAACAGGACAUCAUUUGAGUCCCCUAACAGAAAUCUCAACUCUUCAGGACUUCAAAAACCUGACGAAUGGGCUGUAGGAUCACCUGGUCGCAGGACCCUAAUGACACAGCUUUGGGUACCGCCGGCAGGAGGGGGGUCUCUGAAGGCGACAGACUCCUCCAGCAGAAGCACCGAGGAGCACCUUCCACUCCAGCAAUGCCUGGCCACGUCCUGGACACGGGACCUCCCAGCUCCGAGGAGCCCCCCGUGCUGCACCGAGCACCCCUCGGCUGCCCCUGCGUGACCCCCCAGGGCAGGCCCUCUGCUGAUGGCCACGGGCACACCUACGGGAGGUAUGGCAGAAGAUAA
This 1313-nucleotide long non-coding RNA is filed under the name Anser cygnoides (Swan goose). RNAcentral describes it as "lncRNA (ENSACDG00005000520.1)". Lineage: Eukaryota; Metazoa; Chordata; Aves; Anseriformes; Anatidae. The record is from RNAcentral.